This 448-nucleotide ribosomal RNA is filed under the name uncultured bacterium. Its description in RNAcentral is "bacterial SSU rRNA". It matches the Rfam family "Bacterial small subunit ribosomal RNA", at positions 28 to 457 of the family's 1533-position model. The record is from RNAcentral.
GAUGAACGCUGGCGGCGCGCUUAACACAUGCAAGUCGAACGGAGUGCCUUAGAAAGAGGAUUCGUCCAAUUGAUAAGGUUACUUAGUGGCGGACGGGUGAGUAACGCGUGAGGAACCUGCCUCGGAGUGGGGAAUAACAGACCGAAAGGCCUGCUAAUACCGCAUGAUGCAGUUGGACCGCAUGGUCCUGACUGCCAAAGAUUUAUCGCUCUGAGAUGGCCUCGCGUCUGAUUAGCUUGUUGGCGGGGUAAUGGCCCACCAAGGCGACGAUCAGUAGCCGGACUGAGAGGUUGGCCGGCCACAUUGGGACUGAGACACGGCCCAGACUCCUACGGGAGGCAGCAGUGGGGAAUAUUGGGCAAUGGGCGCAAGCCUGACCCAGCAACGCCGCGUGAAGGAAGAAGGCUUUCGGGUUGUAAACUUCUUUUCUCAGGGACGAACAAAUGAC